CUCAGGACGAACGCUGGCGGCGUGCCUAAUACAUGCAAUUCGAACGAAGCUUUCUUUCACCGAAUGCUUGCAUUCACCGAAAGAAGCUUAGUGGCGAACGGGUGAGUAACACGUAGGCAACCUGCCCAAAAGAGGGGGAUAACACUUGGAAACAGGUGCUAAUACCGCAUAACCAUGAACACCGCAUGAUGUUCAUGUAAAAGACGGCUUUUGCUGUCACUUUUGGAUGGGCCUGCGGCGUAUUAACUUGUUGGUGGGGUAACGGCCUACCAAGGUGAUGAUACGUAGCCGAACUGAGAGGUUGAUCGGCCACAUUGGGACUGAGACACGGCCCAAACUCCUACGGGAGGCAGCAGUAGGGAAUCUUCCACAAUGGACGAAAGUCUGAUGGAGCAACGCCGCGUGAAUGAAGAAGGCCUUCGGGUCGUAAAAUUCUGUUGUCAGAGAAGAACGUGCGUGAGAGUAACUGUUCACGUAUUGACGGUAUCUAACCAGAAAGCCACGGCUAACUACGUGCCAGCAGCCGCGGUAAUACGUAGGUGGCAAGCGUUGUCCGGAUUUAUUGGGCGUAAAGGGAACGCAGGCGGUCUUUUAAGUCUGAUGUGAAAGCCUUCGGCUUAACCGAAGUAGUGCAUUGGAAACUGGAAGACUUGAGUGCAGAAGAGGAGAGUGGAACUCAUGUGUAGCGGUGAAAUGCGUAGAUAUAUGGAAGAACACCAGUGGCGAAAGCGGCUCUCUGGUCUGUAACUGACGCUGAGGUUCGAAAGCGUGGGUAGCAAACAGGAUUAGAUACCCUGGUAGUCCACGCCGU
RNAcentral lists this ribosomal RNA (811 nucleotides) under uncultured bacterium. Its description in RNAcentral is "bacterial SSU rRNA". It matches the Rfam family "Bacterial small subunit ribosomal RNA", at positions 23 to 803 of the family's 1533-position model. The record is from RNAcentral.